RNAcentral lists this ribosomal RNA (496 nucleotides) under uncultured bacterium. Its description in RNAcentral is "partial 16S ribosomal RNA". It matches the Rfam family "Bacterial small subunit ribosomal RNA", at positions 28 to 506 of the family's 1533-position model. The record is from RNAcentral.
GAUGAACGCUGGCGGCGUGCCUAAUACAUGCAAGUCGAGCGAACGGACGAGAAGCUUGCUUUUCUGAUGUUAGCGGCGGACGGGUGAGUAACACGUGGAUAACCUACCUAUAAGACUGGGAUAACUUCGGGAAACCGGAGCUAAUACCGGAUAAUAUUUUGAACCGCAUGGUUCAAAAGUGAAAGACGGUCUUGCUGUCACUUAUAGAUGGAUCCGCGCUGCAUUAGCUAGUUGGUAAGGUAACGGCUUACCAAGGCAACGAUGCAUAGCCGACCUGAGAGGGUGAUCGGCCACACUGGAACUGAGACACGGUCCAGACUCCUACGGGAGGCAGCAGUAGGGAAUCUUCCGCAAUGGGCGAAAGCCUGACGGAGCAACGCCGCGUGAGUGAUGAAGGUCUUCGGAUCGUAAAACUCUGUUAUUAGGGAAGAACAGAUGUGUAAGUAACUGUGCACAUCUUGACGGUACCUAAUCAGAAAGCCACGGCUAACUGCGU